UGCAACUUAGUUUAGUUAGAACCAUCAACUUGCACUUGAUAGGAGAGGUAUCUCAGUAGCGG
RNAcentral lists this transfer RNA (62 nucleotides) under Scherotheca etcheberryensis. Its description in RNAcentral is "tRNA-Ala". The record is from RNAcentral. Lineage: Eukaryota; Metazoa; Annelida; Clitellata; Crassiclitellata; Lumbricidae.